This 325-nucleotide transfer-messenger RNA is filed under the name Kozakia baliensis. RNAcentral describes it as "Alphaproteobacteria transfer-messenger RNA". It matches the Rfam family "Alphaproteobacteria transfer-messenger RNA". Rfam says of the family: Bacterial tmRNA, also known as 10Sa RNA or SsrA, is named for its dual tRNA and mRNA-like properties. Its role is to liberate the mRNA from a stalled ribosome. The record is from Rfam by way of RNAcentral. Lineage: Bacteria; Pseudomonadati; Pseudomonadota; Alphaproteobacteria; Acetobacterales; Acetobacteraceae.
GCUCUUGCCGCCUGCCUUCCGCGCUCCUAUAUAAGGCGUGCCGGAGGGGUUCGCCCCUUGGCUAUGGCGAUAAACGGUAAGUGGAAUAAUCGUUACGGACCCGGGGGCAGUGCCCGGCGUCUCCACCAAAAUCCUCUCCCACUCGGAGAGCAUGGGGACGAAACAGGCUCGACGUGCGUGGUAAAGACUUAUCUUUUGCUCGGCAUUGUACCGCCGUUAUCGGGCUAAAUUACAAGUGCCAAUGACAACUCAAAGGUGCUCGCUGUCGCUGCAUAAGCGAUAAGCGCGGUUCGGGAGGGCACCGGGCAACAGAAGCCCUCCCACU